CCGGGAUCCAUCUCCUGACUUCGUGAUCCGCCCGCUUCGGCCUCCCAAAGUGCUGAGAUUACAGACGUGAGCCACCGCGCCCUGCCUAUAUUAGGUUUUUAAAUAGCAGGAGGCAAAGCUUUUCGGUGUGAUCCUGACUUCACUUGGGGAAAAAGGGCAGACACAGGGUCUCACUGUGUUGGCCAGGCUGGAGUGCGGCAGUCUGGAACUCCUGGGCCCAAGUGAUCCUCCAAUCAGCCUCACAAAGCACUGGAAUUACAGGUAGCUCAGAGAGCUGCGCUGGAGGAGAAAAGCCAGUCCUGGCAGGAGCUCUGGUACCUGGGAAGCUGGAUGGAGAGCCUGGGCCAGAAUCCCGGACCCCUCACCUCUGCGGCCUAGCUUUGUGACCUUGGCAAAUCCAUUCUAUGCACCUCCAUUUCCUGUACAGUGGGGAUCCUUAUUUCUCUGGCACAGAUUGGUAUUUGUUCUGUAAAGCCCAGUACCACUUUAUUUUAUUUUAGUUAUUGAUUUUUUUGAGACAGGGCCUCACUCUGUUGCCAAGGCUGGAAUGCAGUGGCGAGAUCAUAGCUCACUGCAGCCUCAAACUCCUGGGCUCAGGCCAUCCUCCUGCCUCGGCCUCCUGAGUAGCUGGGACGACAGGCGUGCACCACUGCGCCUAGCUCCAGUACCAUGUUUAAACGGUGCUCAGAAAACGUGCUAAACUUGGUGGAUGGGAAUUGAAAAGAGAUUUAAUGUUUUAAAAAUCAAAGUCACUCAGCUGCAGUGCCACAUGGGAAGGAGGCCUGGAUGUGAAUGUUCCUGGGAGCUGAGAGCUCCUGUGACUGUCGCCAGUUUCCUGUGGUCUCCCACAGACUCAGGACAUCUCCCUCUGCUCCAGGACACCUCAGGACCACCAGAGGGCACUCAUCGCACCUUCACCCCUGGAAGGGAGCUGGUCCUGGGGCCAAAACCCACUGUGCCUGGGAAGCCCUUCCUGGCUUCUGCUCUCCUCAAUGUAUGACAGCCCUGAUUUACCCCCAGGGACUGUUGCCACUCGGGGUUGUAGAGUAAUAUGUAACCAGACUGGAGAACCACAGCAAUGCUCUCUCCUCUGCCCAUCACCUCCCCUUGGCCCCUCCCUCUUCAUCAGCCCCAUUUUGGAGAAGGGAGAAAGAAGGGAGAGGCAGCAGUCUCCUCCCAGGUGGGGCCGGACUCCAGGGAAGGAGAAUUUUCAGAAGUUGCUGGAGUUGCCGAAUCUGUCAGGGCCCAGGGUUCACAGAGCAGUGAUGGAGGAGAAAGGAGAGGAAGCAGAUCUAAGCACACAUGGGCAUCAAACCAGAGGAACAAAGUCACAUGCAGAGGGCUGCACAUAGACACAGGGAAACACACACACGGAGAUGCACAGAAACACGCAGACCCCAUGCAGGGACCUGCUUUCCCGCCACAGAGGAAAGCAAUCUGAUCAAACAGACCCACUGUGCACCCAGCCCUCCAUGCUUGGGGACAACACACCUACAAAAAUAUAAGAAAAAAAAGGAAAACUGCUCU
This 1527-nucleotide long non-coding RNA is filed under the name Homo sapiens (human). RNAcentral describes it as "non-protein coding LINC00337:3". Lineage: Eukaryota; Metazoa; Chordata; Mammalia; Primates; Hominidae. The record is from RNAcentral.